Molecule: ribosomal RNA, 427 nt
Filed under: uncultured bacterium
Lineage: Bacteria
Description: partial 16S ribosomal RNA
Rfam family: Bacterial small subunit ribosomal RNA
Source: RNAcentral
GUGGGGAAUUUUGGACAAUGGGCGCAAGCCUGAUCCAGCGACGCCGCGUGGAGGACGAAGGCCUUCGGGUUGUAAACUCCUUUUGGAGGGGAAGAAUAAAUUGACGGUACCCUCAGAAAAAGCCACGGCUAACUACGUGCCAGCAGCCGCGGUAAUACGUAGGUGGCGAGCGUUACUCGGAAUUACUAGGCGUAAAGCGUAUGUAGGUGGUUAGAUAAGUCUAUGGUGAAAUUUCCUGGCUUAACUGGGAAGGGACAUAGAUACUAUCUGGCUUGAGUGUGGGAGGGGGAGACGGAAUUCCUGGUGUAGCGGUGAAAUGCGUAGAUAUCAGGAGGAACACCGAUGGCGAAAGCAGCUUACUAAGCUACAACUGACACUGAAGCACGAAAGCGUGGGGAUCAAACAGGAUUAGAAACCCUGGUAGUCC